Molecule: ribosomal RNA, 241 nt
Filed under: uncultured Staphylococcus sp.
Lineage: Bacteria; Bacillati; Bacillota; Bacilli; Caryophanales; Staphylococcaceae
Description: partial 16S ribosomal RNA
Rfam family: Bacterial small subunit ribosomal RNA
Source: RNAcentral
CGGACGGGUGAGUAACACGUGGAUAACCUACCUAUAAGACUGGGAUAACUUCGGGAAACCUGAGCUAAUACCGGAUAAUAUUUUGAACCGCAUGGUUCAAAAGUGAAAGACGGUCUUGCUGUCACUUAUAGAUGGAUCCGCGCUGCAUUAGCUAGUUUGUAAGGUAACGGCUUACCAAGGCAACGAUGCAUAGCCGACCUGAGAGGGUGAUCGGCCACACUGGAACUUAGACACGGUCCAG